UGUAAUGUUUGCUCAGGGGUGUCAUAUCUUAUUUGUUGCUGGUUAUUGUCUUCACUCAGGGCUUCGUAUUUUAUUCAUUCUUCUGUCAGAUUGUGCUCCUUCAUCUUAGUGUCAGUGGAUCAGAUGUAGAUGAGCAGGAGGAAGAGCAGAGCACCGGCAUGCCUUGCUGUCUGCCACGGUGCGAUUUCUAAUACUAACACAAGAUGGCACCAUCUUAUGUUAGUAAAGACAGACUCAAGUUACAUGACAGUUAAUGUGCCAUGCAGCUACUCUCACACUACGCUGAUGAACACCAUCUCUACAACUUAUUCCCGAGCAGAGGCAACAUCUCCACAGGGGUCACUUGCCCUGCCUUCCUGAAUUACAAGACAAUAGGACCCGAAGAUGUCAGUGGCCCCUGCUGGCCUCAGCCUUGGUCCAAGCCAGGAUAGCCUUCAGUGUCCCUGCAGUGUUUUCCCAUGGUGUCACCCGGAGAAUGUGCUGCUGGCGUUAUCUGCUGUGAAGGCUGCACAAAGGAAUGCAUUCCUCAGGCUGAAGGAUAGGCUGUAGACAGCUGCUGAUUCUCCUCCAGUCUCAUUUAUGACUUGUGCUUAAUAAUGUAAUAACCAUCUGAAUAUUAGAAUAGGAAUGUCACAUUACCAUGCAGUGGUGUUUGAAGUAUUGAGAUCAUUUAAGCGAAAGUUGUAAUAUCACACUAUAAUAAUACUCCAUUACAAGUAUUCAGAAUUAUACUGAUGUGAGAGUACAGAAAUAAAUACAACACAAUCAAAAGUACUCAUUAUCUCAUUAUGGCCAUUAUCAGUGUUAUAUUAACGUAGUCUUUACUAUAGAUGGCACUUAAAUGUUGUAGCUGGUUGAGAUGGAACUCAUUUGAACUGAUUCAUGUAGUGUUGGGCAGUCAAAUGAUCACAUUUCAUAAACUGUUCUUAUGAUUUCUAUGUAAAAUCUUUAAUUGUAAAGUAGUAACUACAACUGAUAUCAGAUAAAUGUAGUAAAGUAAAAGUAAAAAUGGAAAUAAACAAGCACAACAACUUCAAAAUUGUAUUUGUAAAUCCACCACUGGUACCAUGGCUUUAUCAGUUACUUUGAGAAUGUAUGUAGAGUACAUAGAGUACACAUGUAGGGCACAUAUUAUCACUAACAGUGAUUCUGUAAUCCAUUGAUUAAUCCUGGUUUGGAGUCUUUUACAGUUGGGAUUUGCCUUGAAUUCCUGCUGCCGAUGCUGCAGUGUGUGGCUGGUACGUGAGUGUCUUUUACUCCUGUUUUUACACUAGUCUGAAGGAGACGACAGGUUUGUUUGUGAAAUCUACUGUUUCUCUGCAUGUGGUCACAAUUCAAUACCACUGACAGUGAAGAAUGGACUGUAUCAUCGCUGGCCUUGAACUCAAAGCUACUGAUGACAU
Molecule: long non-coding RNA, 1403 nt
Organism: Thunnus maccoyii (southern bluefin tuna)
Lineage: Eukaryota; Metazoa; Chordata; Actinopteri; Scombriformes; Scombridae
Exons: 4
Source: RefSeq, a predicted model, not a curated record